AGUUUACAUCUAACUGGCAGCUGCAGGUCCUGGCAACCACAUAGCUGGGCAGAUGUUAGAAAUCUGAGCUGAGCUGCAGCAGCUGGAAUGGCCAAGUGGGUUCCCCAGAGCCAAGGUCUGGGAAAGAAGUACACAAAUGACUUUGGGAACACCAUCUUUCUAGAAGACGAGAAGCCCAGUCUCUGUUUAAAAGGCCUUAGAGCCAACAGAGGGUUUAAAUCAUGCAUACUGAGCACUGAGCUUCUGUGCAAGGAAGAAUAAAUAAAUGAAAGAUGCCAUGAAGGAGAAUGCUUGGCUGGCCACUGAGAAGUACAUACAUUUGAAUCUGUUUCCCUCGAGCAAUGCAUUCAGACAGGUUGCUCAGUUCCAUCACCCGGGGAUUCACUCCUUCUUCAGGUCAAUCUAACUUGCUGAUGGUUUGCUGUUCUUCUGACCACACUAUUGCCUCUGUAUGUCUACUCAGCCAUUUGCAUCUCCCCCAAGUUACAGCCCACCCAGAAUUGGAAGUCAUCUUAGGGACACUCAGGUACCUGUGUCCUGCUGUCUGACCCUACUCCCCACCCAGUCCCCAGAUGGGGAACACAAAAAUUAUGU
Molecule: long non-coding RNA, 594 nt
Filed under: Vulpes vulpes (red fox)
Lineage: Eukaryota; Metazoa; Chordata; Mammalia; Carnivora; Canidae
Description: lncRNA (ENSVVUG00000021241.1)
Source: RNAcentral